UAAAUAUGACCACGAGACCGAUAGCGAACAAGUACCGUGAGGGAAAGUUGAAAAGCACUUUGAAGAGAGAGUUCAAGAGUACGUGAAACCGUUUAGGGGUAAACCUGAGAAACCCGAAAGGUCGAAGGGAGAAAUUCAUUCGCGUUUCGACGUGGGCGUCGAGCGUUCGAGCGACGGCGAACUUUCGAGUUUGCCGCGCCUUUUGCUUGACGAACCGGCGACGAACGCGUGCACUUUUUUCCCGGUAGGACGUCGCGAUCCGUCGGGUGUCGGUCUACGGCUCGCGGUGGAGCCCGUUCGUUUCGUACGAACGGACCCGCGUAUCCCGGCCGACUCGCUCGACGGUACGCCAAAGGUUCAGGGCCGCUCUAGGAGCGUUCGACUCGUGGCAAGCGCGCCAGAUGCGUCGGCGAUCGGACCUAGUGCCGAUUCUGACGCCUGGUGACUGUUGGCUACGAAGUUCUCGAACAGACCAUGGACCUAUCCGCGACGCUAUAGCUUUGGGCACUUUCAGGACCCGUCUUGAAACACGGACCAAGGAGUCUAGCAUGUACGCGAGUCAUUGGGAAUCAUUAAACCUAAAGGCGCAAUGAAAGUAAAGGUUUUCCUAGCGAGGACCUAGGGAGGACGGGUGGUUAACCCUUAAAGUGGCCGCCCUGCACUCCCGGGGCGUCUCGUUCUCAUCGCGAGAAGAGGCGCACCAAAAGCGUACACGCUGGGACCCGAAAGAUGGUGAACUAUG
This 742-nucleotide ribosomal RNA is filed under the name Afrogeochus franzi. RNAcentral's name for it is "partial large subunit ribosomal RNA". It matches the Rfam family "Eukaryotic large subunit ribosomal RNA", at positions 317 to 835 of the family's 3401-position model. Lineage: Eukaryota; Metazoa; Arthropoda; Insecta; Coleoptera; Curculionidae. The record is from RNAcentral.